UAACCUGCCCAAGAGAUCGGGAUAACACCUGGAAACAGAUGCUAAUACCGGAUAACAACAGAUGAUGCCUAUCAACUGUUUAAAAGAUGGUUCUGCUAUCACUCUUGGAUGGACCUGCGGUGCAUUAGCUAGUUGGUAGGGUAACGGCCUACCAAGGCGAUGAUGCAUAGCCGAGUUGAGAGACUGAUCGGCCACAUUGGGACUGAGACACGGCCCAAACUCCUACGGGAGGCAGCAUAA
Molecule: ribosomal RNA, 240 nt
Filed under: uncultured Lactobacillus sp.
Lineage: Bacteria; Bacillati; Bacillota; Bacilli; Lactobacillales; Lactobacillaceae
Description: partial 16S ribosomal RNA
Rfam family: Bacterial small subunit ribosomal RNA
Source: RNAcentral